Molecule: ribosomal RNA, 253 nt
Filed under: uncultured bacterium
Lineage: Bacteria
Description: partial 16S ribosomal RNA
Rfam family: Bacterial small subunit ribosomal RNA
Source: RNAcentral
UACGUAGGGGGCAAGCGUUGUCCGGAUUUAUUGGGCGUAAAGAGCGUGUAGGCGGCCAGGUAGGUCAGCUGUGAAAACUCGAGGCUCAACCUCGAGACGCCGGUUGAAACCAUCUGGCUAGAGUCCGGAAGAGGAGAGUGGAAUUCCGAGUGUAGAGGUGAAAUUCGUAGAUAUUCGGAAGAACACCAGUGGCGAAGGCGACUCGCUGGACAAGUAUUGACGCUGAGGUGCGAAAGCGUGGGGAGCAAACAGG